AUGAGCGGCGGGGUGAGUAACACGUAAAGAAGUCUGGGAUAACCACGAGAAAUCGGGCUAGGUCAUCGGACCGCAUGGUCCGAGGAUGAAAGGCGCUCCGGCGUCGCCUGGGGAUGGCUUUGCGGUGCAUUAGCUAGUUGGUGGGGUAAUGGCCCACCAAGGCGACGAUGCAUAGCCGACCUGAGAGGGUGAUCGGCCACACUGGGACUGAGACACGGCCCAGACUCCUACGGGAGGCAGCAGUAGGGAAUCUUCCACAAUGGACGAAAGUCUGAUGGAGCAACGCCGCGUGAACGAUGAAGGCCUUCGGGUCGUAAAGUUCUGUUGUAAGGGAAGAACAAGUGCCGCAGGCAAUGGCGGCACCUUGACGGUACCUUGCGAGAAAGCCACGGCUAACUACGUGCCAGCAGCCGCGGUAAUACGUAGGUGGCAAGCGUUGUCCGGAAUUAUU
RNAcentral lists this ribosomal RNA (451 nucleotides) under Halopseudomonas sabulinigri. RNAcentral's name for it is "bacterial SSU rRNA". It matches the Rfam family "Bacterial small subunit ribosomal RNA", at positions 94 to 555 of the family's 1533-position model. The record is from RNAcentral. Lineage: Bacteria; Pseudomonadati; Pseudomonadota; Gammaproteobacteria; Pseudomonadales; Pseudomonadaceae.